CCAGUCCCAGACUUUGUUAGACUUUUGAUGACUGCAGCGCCACGCAGCGCGUUCUUAAUAAAGAGUCCUGCUGAAGAUAUCCAAGAGUCUCCUGGU
Sinocyclocheilus anshuiensis is the source of this 96-nucleotide long non-coding RNA. RefSeq lists it as uncharacterized. The record is from RefSeq and is a predicted model, not a curated record. The transcript is spliced from 3 exons. NCBI's taxonomy places the organism in Eukaryota, Metazoa, Chordata, Actinopteri, Cypriniformes, Cyprinidae.